AGCUUAUUGAAUAUAUAUUAAGUAUUUUCUGCCCGGUGGAUUUAACGGCCGCGGUAUCUUGACCGUGCAAAGGUAGCAUAAUCAUUUGUCUAUUAAUUGUAGACUAGUAUGAAUGGAGUGACGUAGUGAAAGUUGUCUCUUUUUUAGUUAAUGAAUUUUCUUUUCAGAUGAAGAAGUCUGAAUUUAAAAAAGGGACGAGAAGACCCUAUUGAAUUUAAUAUUUAUGUAAAAUCUUUUUAUUAAUUUUUUAAAGCUAAAUAUUUAGUUGGGGCAACUGAGGAAGAAGAAAUUUUCUUUUUUUAUAUUUUGAUCCGCUUGAUUGCGAUUCUAAGAAUUAAUUACCAUAGGGAUAACAGCGUUAUUUUCUUAGAGAGUUCAUAUCGAUAAGAAAGAUUGCGACCUCGAUGUUGGACUAAAAUCUCCUAGGGGUGUAGCAUUUCCUAAGGGUGGGUCUGUUCGACCUUUAAAAUUUU
Molecule: ribosomal RNA, 473 nt
Filed under: Tubulanus sp. Palaeo_CB155_MCB006_18_01
Lineage: Eukaryota; Metazoa; Nemertea; Palaeonemertea; Tubulaniformes; Tubulanidae
Description: partial 16S ribosomal RNA
Rfam family: Bacterial large subunit ribosomal RNA
Source: RNAcentral